GCAGAAGCUCUAAACUCGAAUCCAUUUGUGAAGGAUUGUUUAUGCAUCCUGCAUUAAGCUGUUACUGGAUAAAAUGUAUAAACAGCUCUUGAAGCAGAGUCGGCAACGCAGCGCUCCUGCACAGCUUCCACAGGCAAGGAUUUCUGCUGUCUGUGUUUCAAAAACCCAAGGCUUAGCUCUGGUAGGGAAACCUGGCUCAGACUUCUGAGGAAAUGGCUAAGUUGUGAGAAAGAGCUGUGACAACAUCUGUAGAGUGGAGCUGUGCAAGAUAAGAAAGGUAAAAUUGCCAGCGGAGGUAGGAUUAUUGAAACUGGGACAGUUAGCAGCUUAAGGAUUCAGGAGGUAAAAAUGCCAGCGUGGAAAAGGAAAAACCCUUAAGGAAGAAGAGGGAGGUGGAAGUGAACAACUCAAGAAGAGCUGAGAUCCAGAGAGCAGCAGAGGCCAACCUGUGUGACUUUACCUGACACGGGAUCCUCCUGAGCCGACCUCAUUACUGACUCCUGCCUGGCUAGCAAGGAGUCUCCGAGUGUCAUAUGGGAAGGGGUAAAGACUGAGCACGCUAAUGUUUAGCCUAGUUCUUUAUUAGGUAGCUAUCUUCUGUAUGUGCCAAGCAAUGAAUAGUUGCUAUAUACUUUAAAGCUGUAUAUAUUAUGCUGUCAUAGUCUCUUUGCAAAUAGCUAAAGGUGUCCAAAGUGAUCCUAACAGUUACAUCAGUUGGUUACAUCAAACAGGUAAUGACUCAGCCAUGCUAAGUUUCUGUGGAUGCCACCAAAACAGGCUAAAAGCAAUUGGUUGCAGAGCUUGAAUGGGGAGAGACUUUUGAGGUAUAGUUUCUAAGAGGAAAGGUGUUAAAUGAUCUGUACUAUCCAUUGCAUUGUCCAGCCUUCGAAAUCUGACUGUUGAAGGGGAAAUUCUAAUUGUAACUGCUGAGCAGUGGUAAUUUGUGACUGAGGAGUGAUCUGGAAUGGAGGGCCAGAAGGCCCAGCUGCAAGAAGGGGUUAAACUGGCUGGAAGCAGGAAUGCCAGAGACAGAAGGACUCCUUGCAAGUAAGUGAAGUUUCCCUGGGUGAUGAGAUAAGAAACAGCCUCAGCAUUGUCUUGUAGACCAUCCUGGAAUGGAAGCACUCAGGGGCCCAAGCUCAGGGGCCACUUUUGGGCAGCAAAGCUGGGCUGGGGGAUGGACCCACUGCCGAGCUGAAGUGCUCCAUGCAACCACUCAGAAUUGGUGCUGAUGUGAGAGUAUGUAAGGAAUCUGCUUGUGACACAUCUUUGCAGACUCCACAUCUGUCCACGUAUUGUGGUAGGACUCUGCCCAAUGCAUUGUUCAUUAAUUUUUUCUUUUAUAUUUAAGCACAAACAUGUGUUUCACUUGCCUCAAGGGGUAACAUAAAAAUUCCCCAACACUGUAUAUGUCCCCUUUUCAGACUGGACCACUGUAUCUUUUAACAUCUCCUGAUCAGUCAGAAGCAAUAUGGUAGCUGACAGGUAAGCUAUUGUCCCAAACUGAAACUCUGAGCUGACAGUUGGGAAACUUAUAUAUGUCUUCAACCAGCAGAAGAGCUGUGAUGUGUGAAGUCUCUCUCCUCUACCUGAGAACUUUGCUGGAAAUACAGUCUUCCUUGCAUCAGCCCCAGACCUCUCACUAGAUUCUGUGGACCAGUGGCUAGGGCAUUUAUCUGGAUUACUGUCUCAGUUCCUAUCAUGAUUCUCCUUUUAUAUAAAGACUCUAUGAUGUAAAACAAAUAAACAGCUUUGAAAGCAGGGACUGAAACUUCCCAUGGCAAGUACUUCAGCCAUGAAUCCAGGCUAUAAAGCCAUUCUAAAAUAUGGACUUUAACCAGUCCUUUUCAAAGAAUAGUUUAUGUUCACCCAACUUUAGGGAGAAUCCAAGCUUUGUGCCAGUCUUGCCCUAGAUAUAUAAAUUUGGGGGGGGGGGGGGGGAGUAGUAGUAAAUUUCUUCUGGUUAAUGAGAUUUUUUCUUUGCCCUUAAUAGUGUUCCACUUGGUUUGUGUGGUUUCUAGAGGCCCCUUUUGGUAUAACAGUCCAUUUGUGAGAGUACGUACCCAGGCAGUAGCAUGUUUUGGCUUCAGUACAAUACAACACUAUCAUGGCACUCCCAUUCCUGGGGAACACUCAAAUAACAGGCUGUAAAUAAAGUAGGUGAAAUAUAUAGAAGGGUGAAAGCUCUAUUAACUGUUCUCCCAAAUCCAUGCAGGAUUAUAUAAAUCAUGGGGCAAGAGAUGCAAAGAGCCAAAGGGAAUCAGAUUUCACUUUGAUGAACUUCUUUGGGACAGAUCAAGACAGGGUUUCUGCUUCUGGCUUCCUGGGGUAUGAGUAUAUGUUGACUAUUUUACUAGGAAGCAGUCCUGGGAAGAGGACUCACUUUAUCUUAGAAAGUGUUCAUAGACCGCUAAGUUUACAGCUGCAGUGAACAGGCUGGACACCUACGUCAGCAAACUGCAUGAUACCAUGGAAGUGCUUAAAUUUUUUGUACAAGUAACUGGAAACAAGUGGACCUGUUUUCUCUCUGCAGCUCUCCAGAGGCUGUUUAGCAAACUUAAGCAGUUCUGCUAAGCAGCCUGAUCACCAUUUGAAGCUAGAUACAUAUAAUGUUGAUGGGUCAACAUUUAAGUUAGAAGGAUAUAUUGGCAGAAAUUAUUUCUUCCUUGAGAUGGUCUUGAAACUGCUCACAGUACAUUCUUGGAUGUAACACAGACAAUCUAGCCUGUUAUCCUUGUACACAGAAAUUAUUGCACACUAUUUUCAGUGCAUACUGCUUAAUGCCAGUGAGUGAACUCCUUUUCUGCAUUUAACUAACUUCCAAGUCAUCCUGCCAAAUAUACUAAUUGAAACAGCCUGUCUCCCACCUAAAAGAAGUAAGUAGAGGAUAAAAAAGCGGGGGGGAGGCAGAAGGUUAGGCUGACAAUGCAAAGACCAUUUCUGCUUGAAUACUGAUGAGCCAAGUUAUCUAUGCUGGCCACCUGCCUAACUAUUUGGUUCCUGCCAGUGUUUCAUUGCUUAUGCUGAUCUUUGGGGAACUGUUACUGUAUGAAUGCUGCUAAAUGAUUUUAAUCUUUAUUUUAAUUCUUGUUAGCUUUUAAUAUAAUUGUAAAAGGUAAUUUGUGAUUUGUGCAUUGUCUGAUUGCUAAAACCUUUGUGAGAUAAUAAAUUAAUAUUAAAAUUC
Harpia harpyja (harpy eagle) is the source of this 3184-nucleotide long non-coding RNA. RefSeq lists it as uncharacterized. The record is from RefSeq and is a predicted model, not a curated record. NCBI's taxonomy places the organism in Eukaryota, Metazoa, Chordata, Aves, Accipitriformes, Accipitridae. The transcript has 2 exons.